GACGAACGCUGGCGGCGUGCUUAACACAUGCAAGUCGAACGGGAUUUAGUAGACAGAAGCCUCGGCUAAAGAUUACUAAUGAGAGUGGCGAACGGGUGAGUAACGCGUGAGCAACCUGCCUAUGACAGUGGGAUAGCCUCGGGAAACCGGGAUUAAUACCGCAUAAAAUCGUAGAAACACAUGUUUCAACGGUCAAAGAUUUAUCGGUCAUAGAUGGGCUCGCGUCUGAUUAGCUAGUUGGUGAGAUAACAGCCCACCAAGGCGACGAUCAGUAGCCGGUCUGAGAGGAUGAACGGCCACAUUGGAACUGAGACACGGUCCAAACUCCUACGGGAGGCAGCAGUGGGGAAUAUUGCACAAUGGGGGAAACCCUGAUGCAGCGACGCCGCGUGAACGAAGAAGGUAUUCGUAUCGUAAAGUUCUGUCCUAUGGGAAGAUAAUGACAGUACCAUAGAAGAAAGCUCCGGCUAAAUAC
This 475-nucleotide ribosomal RNA is filed under the name uncultured bacterium. RNAcentral describes it as "partial 16S ribosomal RNA". It matches the Rfam family "Bacterial small subunit ribosomal RNA", at positions 28 to 504 of the family's 1533-position model. The record is from RNAcentral.